AGAUUGAACGCUGGCGGCAUGCCUUACACAUGCAAGUCGAACGGCAGCACGGGAGCAAUCCUGGUGGCGAGUGGCGAACGGGUGAGUAAUACAUCGGAACGUGCCCAAUCGUGGGGGAUAACGCAGCGAAAGCUGUGCUAAUACCGCAUAAGAUCUACGGAUGAAAGCAGGGGAUCGCAAGACCUUGCGCGAAUGGAGCGGCCGAUGGCAGAUUAGGUAGUUGGUGAGGUAAAGGCUCACCAAGCCUUCGAUCUGUAGCUGGUCUGAGAGGACGACCAGCCACACUGGGACUGAGACACGGCCCAGACUCUACGGGAGGCAGCAGUGGGGAAUUUGGACAAUGGGCGAAAAGCCUGAUCCAGCCAUGCCGCGUGCAGGAUGAAGGCCU
RNAcentral lists this ribosomal RNA (388 nucleotides) under uncultured soil bacterium. RNAcentral's name for it is "bacterial SSU rRNA". It matches the Rfam family "Bacterial small subunit ribosomal RNA", at positions 26 to 417 of the family's 1533-position model. The record is from RNAcentral.